This 253-nucleotide ribosomal RNA is filed under the name uncultured bacterium. Its description in RNAcentral is "partial 16S ribosomal RNA". It matches the Rfam family "Bacterial small subunit ribosomal RNA", at positions 524 to 776 of the family's 1533-position model. The record is from RNAcentral.
UACAGAGGGUGCAAGCGUUGCUCGGAUUUACUGGGCGUAAAGCGUACGCAGACGGCCACGUAGGUCGGGUGUGAAAGCCCCGGGCUCAACCCGGGAAUUGCAUUCGAAACCACGUGGCUCGAGUGUGGGAGAGGGUAGUGGAAUUCCUGGUGUAGAGGUGAAAUUCGUAGAUAUCAGGAGGAACACCGGCGGCGAAGGCGGCUACCUGGUCCACAACUGACGUUCAGGUACGAAAGCGUGGGGAGCAAACAGG